This 266-nucleotide signal recognition particle RNA is filed under the name Actinomycetes bacterium. Its description in RNAcentral is "signal recognition particle sRNA large type". It matches the Rfam family "Bacterial large signal recognition particle RNA". Rfam says of the family: The signal recognition particle (SRP) is a universally conserved ribonucleoprotein involved in the co-translational targeting of proteins to membranes. The record is from RNAcentral. Lineage: Bacteria; Bacillati; Actinomycetota; Actinomycetes.
CCGUGCUAGGCGGGGAGCUAGCGGUGCCCUGUACUCACAAUCCGCUACAGUGAGGCUGAAUGGCGGUAUUGAGGUUUCCUGCAGUAGGGUUUGACCUUGUGCAAGUGGCAAUGAAGGCUGGGUCUCAUGCGGCGAAGAGUUGCGAACCCCGUCAGGUCCGAGAGGGAGCAGCGGUAAGCAAUAAGCUUCGGGUGCCAUGAGGAAACCUGGCUGGAGCAAACUGCACAGGGGGCACCUGUUGCGGUAAAUCGAAUUCCGCUGCACGG